RNAcentral lists this long non-coding RNA (6600 nucleotides) under Sus scrofa (pig). Its description in RNAcentral is "lncRNA (ENSSSCG00030019526.1)". The record is from RNAcentral. Lineage: Eukaryota; Metazoa; Chordata; Mammalia; Artiodactyla; Suidae.
GCACCGUCACCAGAUAGGUUCACUAAUAAGUUCUGUCAAACAUUUAAGGCAGAAAUUAUGCCAAUUCUCUGAAAUAUCUUUUAGAGGAUAGAAGCAGAGGGACUACUUCUUAACUCAUUCUAUGAGGCCAGCAUUACCCUAAUACCAAAAAAACAAAAAAACGAAAAAACCCACCAAACAUUACCCCCUAUGAACAUAGAUGCAGAAAUACUCAGCAGAGCAUCAAUUUGAAUCCAAAAGUGUAUCUUUAAAAAUUAUAUAUGCCAACUAAGUGGAUUUAGCUCUAGUGUGCAAGCAAGGCUGGUUCAACGUGAAAAAAUCAAUUAAAAUAAUCCAUCACAUCAUCAGGUUAAAAGCAUAAUUACAUAAUCCUAGCAGUGAUGUAGAAAAUGCAUUUGACAAAUCUAACACUUAUAACAAAAACUCUCAGAAAACUAGAAAUAGAAGGAAACAGCCUCACCUUGAUAAAGAAUAUCUACAAAAAACCUAGAGCUAAUAUCAUAUGUGAUGGUGAGAAACAAAGUUUUCCCAUUGAAAUCAAGCAUAAGGCAAGGAUGUCCUCUCACCACUCCUUUUCACCUGAUGUUUUAGCUGAUGUAAUAAGACAAGAAAGGGAAAUAAAGUGUGUAUGGAUCAGGAAGGAAUAAAAAACUGUCUUUAUUUGCAAAUGAUGUGACCAUCUACAUAGAAAAUCUGACAAGACUGAGAAAAAAUACCCUGAUGGAACUAACAGGCGGUUAUAAUAAGGUUGCAGGAAACAGUUGAGACAAGGGCAAUAAAUGAAGUAUUCUCAGGUCUCUAGUCCCUGUCUUCAAUUAGAAAAACACAUUAUCCGUUUUAGGUAGGGGUAGUUACAAAGUUUCCCUUGAACAAAAUUAUACCUGGUCUUAAAAAAGGAAAAAAAUUGAAACCCACUUUAGAACAGCUUCCUCUGAAAUGUGAAGAAACUGAGGCAAAGAAAGGCAAGUGGCCACAUGGGGCCAUUCUGAGAGUUUGCCCCAGAGUCACAAUUGGAACCCUGCUCUCCCAACUGCCAGGCCAAGGUGUUUAGAUACAGACCUAAAAAGAUUUAAAAAAAAAAAUCCAGACCUUACUACCCACCCUCACCUGCUAGGGAGAAAAUGCUUAAACAGUAUUUGAAUUUAUCUGGUGGAGGCCCAGAAAUAAAAAGAAGAAAAGGAGGAUAGCAGUUAAUUGAUUUACCCCAACACCCAACUCUACUUGAGUCUUCACAAAACCUUCUUUUUCCUAAGACCUGAUAUGCACAGGGUUCCUGAAGGGCAGGACCCUUGUCUAUUUCUGUGUCAUUAUCUCUUUCCCCUAGCAAUUCUGGAUACUCUUUUGGAGCAUUGGGGUCUGGUUUCUAAAGCAUUACUGUAUCUCUAUUCCCUUGUUCUAUACCCUCCAUCCUAUUGUUUCAGUUUCUUCCUAUCUCCUGAGCUUGGUAAAAUGUAGUUCACACUCCCCACCAGCCAUAUUAAUUUCCUAAAGACUUCAGGAAUGAUAUUAUGAUUCCUGCUUAUCACUUCCCAACCUCCUACAAUCUAGUCCAGAUCACAAGAAGAUUGUUGAUUGCUCUAUAAUGCAAAUGUCCUUGUGUUUAAAGUUGUUCCAGAAUUCUCUUAGACUGUCCUCAAUUCUUUUCAUUCUUUUUUCUUUAUUCUGUUCCAUGUCAGUGAUUUCCACCAGUCCUUCUUCCACCUCGCUUUUUUUGUUGUUCUGCCUUCUGUAUUAUGCUAUUGGUUCCUUCUGGUGAAUUUUUAAUUUUGGUUAUUGUGUUCUUCAUCUUCUCUGCCUUUUAAAGGGCAGAACGAAGUGCCAAUUUCCUGUUCAUACUAUUCAGUUGUCAAAAAGUUUAGUAAAAUCUAACUUAUGUUCCUGAAACUGUUCCUGCAUGCUUUGUAAUCUCAUUAAGUAUAAAACAAGGAGGUGGCCUUACCUUUUUAUGUACUGCCUAUAGAUAAGGAGGCUGUUCUUGGGCCCAGCCCUAUCUUUCCUGCCUCAAUAUGAAUUGAUUAAAAAAAAGUUAAUUUUUUUUAAUUGUCUGAUUUGGUUUACAGAAUAUUGAGGAGACAGUUGUAUGCCACCCAGUUAAAUAUUUCUAUAUAUUAAAAUAUAUGGUAUCAAAAAAAAUCUUCUCUGCCUUUUUUAAAGGUUUUUUCUAAUUUGUUGAUAUUUGCUUCUAGUUUGUUGCCAAGAUCUUGGAUCAUCCUUACGAGCAUUACUCUGAAGUCUUUUUCAGGUAGGUUUCUUAUCUCCACUUCACUUAGCUAUUCUUCUUGAGUUUUGUCUUUUUCCUUCAUCUUGCUCAUCUUUCUCUGACUUUUCAUUUUGUAUAGCUUUUUGUGUGGUCUCAUUUUUUGCAGGCUGUAAGGGUUGUAGCCUCUCUUCUUCUAAUGUCUGUCUGCUUGUGAGUGAAGUUAACACAGGGGCUUGUGGUGGGCUUCCUGAUGGAAGGGACUGGUGCCUGCCCACUGGUAGGUGGAGCUGAGUCUUGUCCCUCUGGUGGGUGGGGCUUUGUUUCUGGGUGUGAUUUGAGGCAGCUGUGUACCUGGGAGGACCUUAGGCAGCCUGUUUGCUGAUAUGUGGAGCUUUGUUCCCACCCUGUUUGUUGCUUUGCCUGGGGCUUCUCAACCCUAAUGGGUGGGGCCAGAUUUUUCCAAAACGGCAACCUCCAGGGGAGCUCACAUUGAUGAUUAUUCCUGGGACCUCUGUGUCCAUUGUCCUGUCCCCUCAGUGAGCCACAGCCACCCCCUGCUCUCCCUGGAGACCCUCUAAGACCCACAGGUAGGCCUGAUCCAGAUUCUUAUGGAGUCCCCGCUUUGCCCUGGAACCCAGUGCACGAGAAACCCUUUGUGUGCCCUCCAGUGGUGGAAUCUGUUCCCUCCAGUCCUGUGGAGCUCCUGUGCUCAAGCCUCACUGGCUUUCAACGCCAAAUGCUUCAGGGGCUCCUCCUCCCAGUGCCAGACCCCCAGGCGUGGGAACCUGAUGUGGAGCCCCAAACUCUCACUCAUGUGGGAGAGCCUCUGCCAUAUAGUUAUUUUCCAGUCUGUGGGUCACCCACCCAAUGGUUAUGGGAUUGCUUAUAUCAUGAAAGCACCCCUCCUACCUUCUUGAUGUGACAACUUUGUCUUUGGGUAAAGGAUAUCUUUUUUUGGUAGCUUCCAGUGUGUUUUGGCUAUUCAAAAGUUAGUUGUAAUUUUGGCUUUUUUUGUGAGAGGAGGUGAGCCCGAGUCGUUCUAUGCCAUAGUCUUGUCUCUGUCAAGUAAGUGGUGCUGGGAAAACUGGACAGCGGUACCCUGUGCCCUCCUUCCUUCCUGGCCCAGACAGACACACUUUGGCCUGGAGUUAAAUUUUCUAAAGUCCUUGAAUUUUCCAGAAGGGGUAAAACUUAUAUUACAUUUAAUAUAGCGGUACUUUUAUUAUUUAUUCUCUAGAGUAACAAUUAGAAGAUUAGAAAAAUAAUGUAUAACUAACCGGCUGAAAGAUGAGCUAAUGGAUUUUUAAAAAAUACUUCAUUAAUCUAAAAGAUGGCAAGAAUGGAAAGAAAAAUAACAUGAAACAGGUGAAACAAUGGAAAACGUGUAGUAGGGUGAUAAGCCUAAAGUUGGAGUUCCUGUUGUGGCUCAGCAGGUUAAGGUUCUGACAUUAUCUCUGUGAGGAUGCAGGUUUGAUCCUUGGCUUCACUCAGUAGGUUAAGGAUCUGGCAUUGCCACAAAGCUGUGGCAUAGGUCACAGAUGCGGCUCGGAUCUGGUGUUGUGGGUAGACUGCAGCAGCUCCGAUUUAAUCUCUAGCCUGGGAACUUCUAUAUGCUGUGGGUGCGGCCAUAAAAAAAACCAUGUCAAUCACUACCUAAAAUGUACCCAAAAUUAGUGUAAUUAAAAGACAGAAUUAUCAGAACGGAUUUUUAAAACUAUACACUGCUUACAAGGAAAGCCUCUUAUUAAAUAUAACAACAUAGAAAUAUUGAAAAUUUCCUUUCCAGCUCUUUCAAGUUGAAAGUAGAUGUGGCUUGCAAACACUAAAAUAGAAAAGAAAAGCUGCUCUAACUGUACUAAUAAAAAACAAAGCAAACUUUAAAGAUAAUAGUAUUACUAGAGAUUAAAAAAGACAUUAUAUAAUGCUAAAAGAUCAAUUCAUUGGGAAGUUUUAAUAAUCCUAAACCAUAUAUACACAUAUGGUUUGUCUCAAGUCAUAAUAAUGUGACUUCAAAAUGUAUAAAACAAAAAAUUGACAAAGCUGAACAAAUAGAAACAUCCGCAGUCACGGUGGGACAAUUAAAUACAUCUCUGUUUUUAGGGGUGCCUGAUAGAACAGGCAGACAAAAAUAUCUGUACCUUUAUUGGACACCUCUUGUACCCUGUCUUCCAUCUCUUGGCCCAUAUUUUUAUUGCAGUUAUUGCCAUAUCAGUCAGCUCUACACAGGUGUAACUUGACAACUCCUUGUCACAACUGCAUCAUGCAUGUCUUUGUUUCUUCCCUGGAGUUUCACUGCUACCUAUACAUGGAACCCUUACAAGAAUUUGCUCAAUCAUUUUGUUACAUGCCAAGUGAAUUAAUGCCACUCAGGGCAGCCCUCAACCAAUAAAGACAGGAGCCAGUCGAUAAUUAUUCUCCUGUAUCUCAAGUGCACAAUUCUUUUUCAAAAAUUUUUUUUAUUAUAGUUGGUUUACAAUGUUGUGUCAAUUUCUGCUGUACAGCAAAGUGACCCAGUCUCUCUCUCUCACACACACCACCCCCCGACACACCCACAUACACCCACACCCUUUCUUAUUUUAUCUUCCAUCAUGGUUUAUCUCAAGAGACAGGAUAUAGUUCCCUGUGCUAUACAGUAGGACUUCAUUGCUUAUCAAUUCUAAAUAUGAUAGUUUGCAUAUAUUAACCCCAAACUCCCAGUCCAUCCCCGACCCCCCCCCCCGCAACCACAGUUCUGUUCUCUAUGUCUGUGAGUCUGUUUCUGUUUUGUAGGUCAGUUAAUUUGUGCCAUACUUUAGAUUCCACAUAUAAGUGACAUCACAUGGUAUUUGUCUUUCUCUUUCUGACUUACUUCACUUAGUAUGAGAAUUUCUAGUUGCAUUCAUGUUGCUGCAAAUGGCAUUAUUUUAUUAUUUUUUAUGGAUGAUUAGUAUUCCAUUGUGUAUAUGUACCACAUCUUCUUAAUCCAUUCAUCUGUUGAUGGACGUUUAGGUUGUUUCCAUGUCUGACUAUUGUGAAGUACUGUUCUGAACCUGCAGGUGCAUGUAUCUUUUUGAAUUACAGUUUUGUCUGGAUAUAUAUACCAAGGCAUGGGAUUGCUGGAUUAAAUGGUAUUUCUAUAUUUAGUUUUCUGAGGAACCUCCAUACUGUUCUUCAUGGUGGUUGUACCAAUUAACAUUCCCAUCAAUAGUGUAGGAUGAUUCCCUUUUCUCCACACCCUCUCCAGCAUUUGUUAUUUGUAGACUUAUUAAUGAUGGCCAUUCUGACCAGUUGUGCGGUUGUUCCUCAUUAUAGUUUUGAUUUGCAUUUCUGUAAUAAUUAAUGAUGGCCAUUCUGACCAGUGUGCGGUUGUUCCUCAUUAUAGUUUUGAUUUGCAUUUCUGUAAUAAUUAAUGAUGUUGAGCAUUUUUUUCUUUUUCUCUUCUUUUCUUUCCUUUCUUUUUUUUUUUUUUUUUUUUUUUUUUUUUUUUUUUUUUUUUNCAGCAAUGCUGGAUUCCCUGACCCACUGAGCAAGGCCAGGGAUUGAACCUGCAUCUUCAUGGAUGCUAGUUGGAUUCAUUUCUGCUGUGCAACAACAGGAACUCCAAUGUUGAGCAUUUUUUCAUGUGCCUACUGGCCAGCCAUGUGUCUUUGGAGAAAUGUUUAUUUAAGUCUUCUGUCCAUUUUUUUUUUUACUGGAUUGUUUGUUUGUUUAUUGUUGAGUUGUAUGAGUUGUUUGUAUAUUUUGGAGGUUAAACCCUUGUUGGUUGCAUCCUUUGCAACUAUUUUCUCCCAUUCCAUAGGUUUUUUUUUUUUUUAUGGUUUCCUUUGCUGUGCAAAACUUGUAAGUUUGAUUAGGUGCCAUUUGUUUAUUUGUGUUUUUAUUUCUAUUUUAAGUGCACAGUUCUAAGAUAUAUCUUAAACAGAUUACUAGAGGGUUUCCAGUGAAACUGAGCAGCCUGUGCUCAUAGAAGUGGAUAGUUGAAUAAUAUUCCAUUGCAUUGUCAUUUAUUCUUUCUUUCCCUUUUCAUUUCUCCCAGCUCCCAAUUCCUGUUCUUCGGAAUUACUUUCCAAAAUAAACUAUCUGCACACAAACUCUGUUUCAGACUCUGCUUUUGAGACUAAUACACUAAGAAUAUAGAAUACUUGUACAAUAUAACCAGCAACCUUGACCUGACUGACAUGUAUAAAACAUUGCACCCAAACAAUGUAAAAUCUAUGAUCUUUUCAAGUGUAUAUGGAACAUUCAUCAGCAUUAAGUAUAUGCUAAGUGAAGGACAAGUUGUAAAAUUCAAAAGUAUCAAAUUCAUAGAGUAUUUAUUGCUCUGACCACGGUGGAAUUCAGUUAGAAAUAAUAAUAAAAAAGGAUAACUGAAAAUAACCGAUGUGUUGAAAAUAAACAGUAAAUAAUCUUUGGGUCAAAAA